AGUCAUCGGAUUUUGUAACACUGAAUGGGGAUGUAAAACGACAUAGC
Molecule: non-coding RNA, 47 nt
Filed under: Bacillus methanolicus MGA3
Lineage: Bacteria; Bacillati; Bacillota; Bacilli; Caryophanales; Bacillaceae
Source: RNAcentral